GGUUCAGUGUGGUAUAGUGGUUAGGAUGUUGGACUAGGACUCGGGAGACCAGGGUUCGAAUUCCCACUAGGCCA
This is a non-coding RNA of Podarcis lilfordi (Lilford's wall lizard), 74 nucleotides long. The record is from the annotation of a GenBank genome assembly. Lineage: Eukaryota; Metazoa; Chordata; Lepidosauria; Squamata; Lacertidae.